UAUAAUUGAAGAGAAGGGAGAAGUACCAGACAAGAAGGAAUUUGUAUUCUGUGCAUACUGAGGAAAGAAUAGGGAAUUAUAAGACUCUUGUUCAGGAGAUCAGAUGGGAGAUGAUACCUAAUUAAAUAUGAGAGAAUAAUGUCAGUCUGAAAUAAAACAGUAUCAAUGUAGACAAAAGUAAUUAUCAAGAUUCUUAAGAGGAAGAGUGGAUAAAAUUUAGAGAAAGACUGAAUGUGGUCAGUAAAGAGGGAAAAGACUAGAGUGACCCCCAUGCAUAUGGCAUGAGUGGCAUGGUAUUAAGUGCACCACAAACCAGGGCAAAAAUGAAAGUUGUUUUCAAAGGAGCCAGAUCCUCUGGUUUUCUGUACUUAAGAAUUCCAUGUGCAUCUUUAAGAUGUAAAUAUGCCUAGCGAGCCUGAAUGAAAGCAUUAUCUAUUUACUAGAGUUUUCUGUGACAGUGGCUGCCACUUUCCUUAAUUCCUUGGUUAGGCAACAAUAUAUCAUUUGGUUCUCUUUUGCAGUCCAAAAAAUAAAACAAACAAACAAAAAACACAGAGCAAAGCACACAUAAUAUCUCCCUUCAUACCUAAUCCACCAAACUCACAGGAAGAAUCUAUUUUCAUCUUUUUCUAAAUAUUUAAAUAGCUUUAUUUAUGUUAUCUUAUCAAUAUUUACAUUAUGGCAUGUGCUAAGGAAUAAUUUAGUCCUAUUUUUAAAGGGCAAAGAGAGGUUAAGUGGCUCUUCUGGGGAAUCUGGAAAUAAAAGGCCUCAUUCUAUAAUCAGUUCUUUCUGUGUACAGCAACUGGCAAAUUGUUAUUGAUAUUUUAGGUGGCUUGAGUUGUUAGAAUAUGUAUUUACUAGUAAACAAUGAGCUGAGAAGCAGAAGGGGAAUUGAAGAAGUUUUUUUUUU
Molecule: long non-coding RNA, 910 nt
Organism: Nomascus leucogenys (northern white-cheeked gibbon)
Lineage: Eukaryota; Metazoa; Chordata; Mammalia; Primates; Hylobatidae
Exons: 3
Source: RefSeq, a predicted model, not a curated record